This 744-nucleotide unclassified non-coding RNA is filed under the name Hevea brasiliensis (rubber tree). Lineage: Eukaryota; Viridiplantae; Streptophyta; Magnoliopsida; Malpighiales; Euphorbiaceae. The record is from RNAcentral.
AUUUUCUGUAUAUUUCAACAAUGAAAGGUACAAAAAUUUAUAUACAUGCUAACUUAAUCUAAUUAGGAAGAUUGUAAAUAUCCUUAAAAUUAUGUUAAUGAGAGUUUACUUCCCAUACAACUUUCUACUCUACAAUACUCCCCCUUAAGUUGGAGUAUAAAUAUUAAAGAGACAAUGCCUCAACAACAAUUUUAGGAAUGGAUAUUGAGUCUAAGGAAGUAACAAAACAAUGAGAGGAAGUAGACAAUAGGAUAAGUAAGUGUACAUUUACCUCUUGCGAAGGACAAUAGAAAGAUCUAGGUCAGACUAAUUAUCAGUGGAGGAGGUAGGAUCUUCCGAUGAAGAAGCUAGUUGUGGAUUUGAGUCAAGAGUCUCCAAUCUCUUGGAAUAAACUUGAACAAUGGGGAACAAACAAGUGUUGGGACAACUGGAGCAGGAGAAUUCUGAGGACUGGACAAUUGUUAGAUAGUGUAAAGCCUGAAUGUCACAAAUAGAUGUUGGAGGAAAAUAUGGAGUAUACUCGAUUAAUGUAAUAUUCAAUGAAUGUAAUAUCUGCAGACACAACAUAGCGAUUAAGGGUUGGAGAAAAACACCGAUAGCCUUUUUAAAGCCAAGAAUUUCCAAGGAAAAUACAUUUAAGAGACUUUGGAUCAAAUUUAGAAAACUGUGGAUGAAUAUCUCGCACAAAAUAAGUACAGCGAAAAACCCAGGUUCAAUAGGAAACAAUGAUUUAGAUGAAAACAA